RNAcentral lists this ribosomal RNA (465 nucleotides) under uncultured bacterium. Its description in RNAcentral is "partial 16S ribosomal RNA". It matches the Rfam family "Bacterial small subunit ribosomal RNA", at positions 28 to 507 of the family's 1533-position model. The record is from RNAcentral.
GAUGAACGCUGGCGGCGUGCUUAACACAUGCAAGUCGAACGGAAAGGCCCAAGCUUGCUUGGGUACUCGAGUGGCGAACGGGUGAGUAACACGUGGGUGAUCUGCCCUGCACUUCGGGAUAAGCCUGGGAAACUGGGUCUAAUACCGGAUAGGACCACAUUUUGGAUGGUGUGGUGGAAAGUUUUUCGGUGUGGGAUGAGCUCGCGGCCUAUCAGCUUGUUGGUGGGGUAAUGGCCUACGAAGGCGUCGACGGGUAGCCGGCCUGAGAGGGUGUACGGCCACAUUGGUACUGAGAGACGGCCCAGACGCCUACGGUAGGCAGCAGUGGGGAAUAUUGCACAAUGGGCGCAAGCCUGAUGCAGCGACGCCGCGUGGGGGAUGACGGCCUUCGGGUUGUAAACUCCUUUCGCUAGGGACGAAGCGCAAGUGACGGUACCUGGAGAAGAAGCACCGGCUAACUACGUG